AAAUAAUAAAAAUUUAUAAAUUUUCGACAGUUAUAAUUACACGUUUAUUUCGUGGUCAUUCGUCGCGUAAAAUAGCGGACAGGAUAUUUUAUCGAGAAACGUGGAUCGAAAAUUAAUCAAGAAAAACAGUAAAUUUAAUUUUAGUCCAUUAAAAAUAUUAAUCGCGACAUUGAUUAUUAUAUACGGCAUUGUAUUAAAUCGUUAGAUUUAUCAAUUAACAAUAAUAAUCCAAAAAUUGAUAAAUUGUUAACCCAUUAUAUAUUCGAAAACUCGAUUUUGAUACAAUCGAUAAAGGUCGUACGUUUUCGUAGAUUUUCGUAACAGUCGAUAUAUAUAAAUACGAGAUAGGUCGCGCGAGACCAGUCAUUCUUAACGGAGCCUUCGUUACGCGUAGAUCGAAAUAUCGACACUAUUUUGAAUUUAUUGUUGAAUUUUUAUUAUACGAAGCAAUUCGUUCGUACAUUUCUUCAUCGAAAAAUAACGUUUAUCACAUUGAAAGAUUCUCGUUUGCGAUGCAUAAAAUUCGAGGCAUUAUUUUUAAUCGUUAAUUUCUGGUUAAUUUGUCAAAGAAAUCCAAUUUGCUCGUGUCAUUUUAAAACGAGAAGUACCAUCGAUCGAAAAUGAUUAUACGUCAAGAAUUAAGAGGAUAAUUGUACGUUCUUGAAUCCUCUUAAAAUUCAGUUUCUAAUUUAAAUUAGAUUCAUCAAUUGUUUCAAUCGUUGCCUCUUAAUUUAAUCCAUCGAUAAUAACAAUAUUAUAAUACUCAAAAGAUAUUAAAAAGAAAAAAAACCUGUAUCUCGAAAAUAAAUCUCGUAUCGAUUUACAAUCGAUAUAAAAAUUCAAAGUAUCACAAUCUUCUCUCUCUCUCUUCCUUACCGGUUGAAAAAUGCCAAUCAUUGAAGAACGAAGAUUCACGUUGCGCGUCUACGAUCGAAUAGAGCGUCGUUAAUACGAGAAAUAACAUGUCGAUAAAAAGAUGUUUGUCAUGGUUUCUUUGAUGAGAGAAGCGACACGCGCGGACGUGACUGACUGGCUGGCUCUUUGCGAAACUCACUUACAUAGGGUGUAAUUGAACUUUGCGCGAGGUGAUACAAGUGGCGCAGAUGUUUGAGACACGAAAUUCAAUUACAACUUUGUCCUUCGCGCGUUACACCCGGUUUGAUUGAAGAUGGGAAACGAGUCGUUGCAGCGGAGCGAUCGCUGUCGAUCGUACGCUCUUAAUCCAAAUCCGGGUAUUUCAGAUUUUGCGAAAUUCGAGGAAAAGUGUGACAAUUGAUUUUUACUCGUCGUUUUUUAUAAAUAAUAAUACGUAAAUAGGGUUUUAAUAUUCAUCGAAAAUAGUUAUUUAAUGAAAUUCGUUUGAAGAAAUAAUAUUAAAUUGGUGCGGUACGAGAAAAAAUAAUAAUAAUUUAUACAUGAAAGAAAAUUCACAAUCAGUGGAUAAAUGGUAAUUAGAAAUGGCGAAAAAAUAAUAAUAGAUGUGUGUAAUAUAAUUAUAUAAUGAUACUUUAUGUAUUUUAUUGCGCGUAGUAUUAUAAAGCUAUUAAAUGGAAAAUUCCUUUCUUUGAGAAAAAAAAAAAUCAGUUUUUUAUGUUUUGUACAAUCUUGUAGGUCAACUUUCAUUAUAGAUGUACAUCUCUAUAGAGUACAUUUCAAAGUUAUUCUUUGUCAAAUCUCGAAGCGUCUCGUGGUUGAAAAUUUUGAACGAUUAUGCAAUUUUAAAAAUUAUUAAUUGGUAUCAUCAUUGAACGAUUAGAACAAGAGAAAAGUAAAUAUUUUAAAUUAACAAAUAUUCAGGAUUUAAUGUUGUUUUCUAUUCCAGAAAAAAAUUCAGACAAAAUUGUCGAUCAAAAAAUUCCUUCGUCAAAUUCAAUAUCACGGCCACAAAUUUCAAGACGUUCGAAUUGAAAUUUGAAUUUCUUUAAUCAAAUAACGCACGAGAGAAUUUUUCCACCCGUAAGAAUUUCGAUUCUUUUUCACGAUGAUAUCUUUUUGGCGAGCAUCGCAAACGAAGACGACUGAACGUGGAAAAAGUGCAUGGACUCCCACGUAGCUCGCGGAGGGCCAUCUCUAAAGAGUUAAACGUAAAAAUAGAGGCGGACAGUGCACGUGUGCCACCCUCUCUUCGCCCCAGUUAUACCUCGCUCUUCAUCCUCUCUCGAGUACUCGCUUCUCUCGACUAUUCCCGUAUAUAUCCAGCCCGGGGAUAUCCUUGCUCCACGUUUUAUUCUUUUACGUUGUUAAAAAAAAAAAGAAAGAAAAGAAAAGGAAAAAUACACCGCGCCUUUUCUCAAACGAUAAAGAGUUUCAGUUUACUGGCUUCUCUUCGUUAUUAUGCAUCCGUUGUAUUUUAUACUCCAACUCUUAAUUAACCCUUUGUUUUACAAUUUAAUCGUGAGAGUAUAAUUUAAAAGAUUUUCAAUAAUUUUUUAAUCUUGUAAAAAUUUAUAUAUAAAUGUCUUCAAAAUUCAAAGAAAAUUCGAUAUCCAUUAAUAUCGUGGAGAACAAUUUUAAUCGUUACGUUUGAAUAUUUAAAAAAAAAUCGAAUAAUCCUCCUUCCAAAAUAAUUUCUUCGCAUUUAAUCGUUGUAAUAUUCCAUCUUAACAUCUCUUUCUAUAUAUAUAAAUAACUGGUUAUUGCGCACAUUGUUUGCAAACAUGCGCGUUGAGUACGCGUCUCAACAAUAACAGAUCCAUUAGAUUUGUGUCGAAGCCUCCAUUAAUGGACUUUGUCCACCUGCAAGGCGGAGGGAGGAGGAGGAGAGAGAGAGAGAGAAAAAAAAAGGGUCGGGGCGUUGUAAACAAGUCGUUAGUCAUAGGUCUCUGGGACCAACAAUGACUCGUUUCGGUUAUUGCUAUUCAGCGGGCAUACGAUCGAGGUUCUUUUUUUUUUUUUUUUUCGUGGUCGAAAAGUCAAGGCUAUUUCUGCGAAACGAAACUGUUCUUGGAAAAAGGAUGACCAACAAAGGGGCCACGGACAAAUGGCACGACCGGGAGAAUUGACCGCAGACGAACGAUUUUUCUUUUCUUUUCUUUUUAAUAAAAUUUUCUACAUAUCGAGUCCACGCAUCUUUGUUUAAAAGCUUGAAAUUCGAGACGAUAAUACGUGCGUAUGAUUUUGUUGGUUAUUGUAUUAAGAUUAAUAUUGAAAAUUGAAAGGAUGAUUGUUCGAGGUAGGAAUAAGAAGGAGAAUGAAAGGCGAGAGAGAAUUUGAACUUUGUUUUUUUUUAUUACCUAUUGGGAAUUAAAAAUUGAAAUGAAAUGUCGCGUGUAAAUGAAUCUGAACGUGAAGUGGCAAGAGAGCAUGGAGUGAAGUGAAUUGUAAAUGAGAAGGAACGAAGAAUAUGUUGCAAUUUUGUUGUAUAUAUAUUUCCUUUUUAAAGGCGCAUAAAUAAUUUUUUUUAAUAUAGUUAAAUUAUAUUAAAUUUUAGCUUGAAAUUAGGAGGAUGUAAAUUUUUUUUUAUUGUACAUAGACAUAAAGUAAAAAUGCAGAUAAAUCUGUAAUCCGUAAUUAUUGUCAGAAUCAAAAAAAGAUGAAGCUUCCUUAAAAAGAAUUAAUAUCACAAUUUUUAAU
RNAcentral lists this long non-coding RNA (3573 nucleotides) under Apis mellifera (honey bee). RNAcentral describes it as "uncharacterized LOC113218911". The record is from RNAcentral. Lineage: Eukaryota; Metazoa; Arthropoda; Insecta; Hymenoptera; Apidae.